UUCUGUGUAUCAAAUCUUUGUUGCUUCCCGCAUGGUGUGGCCUGCAAAGGCUACCCUGUGGGAAGGAUAUGAUAAACUCUUGUUGUUGUGUCAUUAGUCUGAGUGGUAAACACAUGAAACAAGUUAAAACUUUCAACAACGGAUCUCUUGGUUCUCGCAUCGAUGAAGAACGCAGCGAAAUGCGAUAAGUAGUGUGAAUUGCAGAAUUCAGUGAAUCAUCGAAUCUUUGAACGCACAUUGCGCCUUCUGGUAUUCCGGGAGGCAUGCCUGUUCGAGCGUCAUCAAACACAUCCUCAAGCACUUUUGCUUGGUAUUGGUGGCAGAUGUCCGCAUCUCCUCUUAAAUUCCUCAGCGGAAACUACUGCGGUCUCAGGUGUCAUAAGAUUACCUUUCGCUUGAUAACUGCCGGUAGGUUCUUGCUGUGAAGAGCCCCCCAGCUAUUCUUUUACGUUUGACCUCGAAUCAGGU
This 468-nucleotide ribosomal RNA is filed under the name uncultured fungus. RNAcentral describes it as "eukaryotic LSU rRNA". The stretch from base 128 to 281 matches the Rfam family "5.8S ribosomal RNA". Lineage: Eukaryota; Fungi. The record is from RNAcentral.